AACGAACGCUGGCGGCAUGCCUAACACAUGCAAGUCGAACGAGACGUUCGGGUCUAGUGGCGCUCGGGUGCGUAACGCGUGGGAACCUGCCCUUAGGUUCGGAAUAACUCCCCGAAAGGGGUGCUAAUACCGGAUAAUGUCUUCGGACCAACGAUUUAUCGCCUUGGGAUGGGCCCGCGUUGGAUUAGCUAGUUGGUAGGGUAAAAGCCUACCAAGGCGACGAUCCAUAGCUGGUCUGAGAGGAUGAUCAGCCACACUGGGACUGAGACACGGCCCAGAAUCGUACGGGAGGGAGCAGUGGGGAGUAUUGGACAAUGGGCGCAAGCGUGAUAAAGCAAUGUCGCGUGAGUGAUGAAGGGCGUAGGGUUGUAAAGCUCUUUUACACGGGAUGAGAAUGACAGUAACGGGAGAAUAAGCUCCGGCUAACUACGUG
RNAcentral lists this ribosomal RNA (433 nucleotides) under uncultured bacterium. Its description in RNAcentral is "partial 16S ribosomal RNA". It matches the Rfam family "Bacterial small subunit ribosomal RNA", at positions 29 to 507 of the family's 1533-position model. The record is from RNAcentral.